This is a long non-coding RNA of Oncorhynchus tshawytscha (Chinook salmon), 365 nucleotides long. The record is from Ensembl. Lineage: Eukaryota; Metazoa; Chordata; Actinopteri; Salmoniformes; Salmonidae.
CCGACAUGGGUCUUCCUCUCCCUCUUCCUCUUCCGCUCUGAUCACACUUCGCGCCAAGGAGGAUUUUUUUUUUAUUUUUUAAAGGAGCUGCUGGUCUAAACUAGUCUCAUCACGAUCAAUAAGAAAAACUCAUUUAUUUUUGCUGUGGAUUAUGGACAUCAGGCGGUUCUUUGUAUCAAGCAAACCCGCAGCACAGAAACCAUCUCGGGAUGGAACCCUCAACACAGAGAAGGAACCCACGAAGAAGAAGAAACCUACCACCAAGGUAUUAAUAUAAACCAGAGUCUCUAGUCAGUGAACUGGUCGACCACCAAGGUAUUAAUAUAAACCAGAGUCUCUUCUAGUCGGUGAACUGGUCGACCACC